CCUACGGUGUGCAGCAGUGGGGAAUAUUGCACAAUGGGGGGAACCCUGAUGCCGCGACGCCGCGUGAGUGAAGAAGUAUUUCGGUAUGUAAAGCUCUAUCAGCAGGGAAGAAGAUGACGGUACCUGACUAAGAAGCCCCGGCUAACUACGUGCCAGCAGCCGCGGUAAUAGGUCGGGGGCAAGCGUUAUCCGGAUUUACUGGGUGUAAAGGGAGAGUUGACGGCAGGGCAGGUCUGGAGGGAAAGCCCGGGGGCCAAGCCCGGGACUGCUUUGGAAACUGCCAUGCUAGAGUGCUGGAGAGGUAAGCGGAAUGCGUGGUGUAGCGGUGAAAUGCGUAGAUAGUAGGAGGAACACCGGUGGCGAAGGCGGCUUACUGGACCGUAACUGACGUUGAGGCUCGAAAGCGUGGGGAGCAAACAGGAUUAGAUACCCGUGUAGUC
RNAcentral lists this ribosomal RNA (440 nucleotides) under uncultured bacterium. RNAcentral's name for it is "partial 16S ribosomal RNA". It matches the Rfam family "Bacterial small subunit ribosomal RNA", at positions 338 to 795 of the family's 1533-position model. The record is from RNAcentral.